CUCCCUGUUUGAUUUUAAGGUUCUGUAAACUCUUAAAAUUUGUUUCAGUGCAUGCCCAGGGCUUCCCCAGCCCCAGCAGCUUGUUGCUUAUCUCCUGCCUAAACCUGAUGAAGAUCCAGAAAUGAAGCAUUGCCAGGCUGCUUCAGGGUCUGACACAUGCUGACAGGACCUCACAAAGAUGUUGUGGCUGCUUUCUUUACAGUUGCAGCAGAGGGGAGGAGGCAGUAGCCAUACAGAUUUCAGCAUUUAAGGAGGAAACAGGCUAUCUGGAUCGAGCACUCUCCUUAGCCUGAGGGAUGCAAACCCACACCACCUACCUUCAAGAGAGUCAUGUAUGAACGAAACCAUAGGUUAUUUGAGGGAACAGAAAUAAAACAGUGGAGAGCAGAAAGGACAAAAAGAAGAGUUUAUCUGACCAUUUGUGCAAGGAAUCGAAUCAUAAGUCUCCAAAAUGGGAGACUGAAUACUGAAUAUUCAAGCCACCUUCAUGUUAUGAAUGUUUUGGACUAAGGAC
RNAcentral lists this long non-coding RNA (514 nucleotides) under Anas platyrhynchos platyrhynchos (common mallard). RNAcentral's name for it is "lncRNA (ENSAPLG00000029144.1)". The record is from RNAcentral. Lineage: Eukaryota; Metazoa; Chordata; Aves; Anseriformes; Anatidae.